CACGUAGGGCGCAAGCGUUGUUCGGAAUUACUGGGCGUAAAGGGCUCGUAGGCGGCCAACUAAGUCGGAUGUGAAAUCCCCAGGCUUAACCUGGGAACUGCAUCCGAUACUGGAUGGCUUGAAUCCGGGAGAGGGAUGCAGAAUUCCAGGUGUAGCGGUGAAAUGCGUAGAUAUCUGGAGGAAUACCGGUGGCGAAGGCGGCAUCCUGGACCGGCAUUGACGCUGAUGAGCGAAAGCCAGGGGAGCAAACGGG
RNAcentral lists this ribosomal RNA (253 nucleotides) under uncultured bacterium. Its description in RNAcentral is "partial 16S ribosomal RNA". It matches the Rfam family "Bacterial small subunit ribosomal RNA", at positions 524 to 776 of the family's 1533-position model. The record is from RNAcentral.